RNAcentral lists this ribosomal RNA (533 nucleotides) under Ceutorhynchus sardeanensis. RNAcentral's name for it is "partial 16S ribosomal RNA". It matches the Rfam family "Bacterial large subunit ribosomal RNA", at positions 1809 to 2611 of the family's 2925-position model. Lineage: Eukaryota; Metazoa; Arthropoda; Insecta; Coleoptera; Curculionidae. The record is from RNAcentral.
AAAAACAUGGCUUUUUGAAUUUAAUUUAAAGUCUAGCCUGCUCAAUGAGUUUUAAAUAGCCGCAGUACCCUGACUGUGCAAAGGUAGCAUAAUCAUUAGUUUUUUAAUUGAAAGCUGGAAUGAAAGGUUGAAUGAGAAAAUAGCUGUCUCUAUAAAAAUUUUAUAGAAUUUUAUUUUUAAGUUAAAAAGCUUAAAUUUUAAUAAAAGACGAGAAGACCCUAUAGAGUUUUAUAUUUAUAAAUGAUGUAUUUUUACUUUAGUAUUUUAAAUUAUAUUAUUUUAUAAUAUUUGGUUGGGGUGAUUAGAAAAUUAAAUAAACUUUUCUUUAAAUUUAAACAUUUAUUUAUGAUAUUAUGAUCCUUUUAUAAAGAUUAUAAGAUAAAAUUACCUUAGGGAUAACAGCGUAAUUUUUUUUGAGAGUUCUUAUCGAAAAAAAAGAUUGCGACCUCGAUGUUGGAUUAAAUUAAAUUUUUGGUGUAGAAGCUAAAUUGAUUAGGUCUGUUCGACCUUUAAAAUUUUACUUGAUCUGAGUU